RNAcentral lists this ribosomal RNA (496 nucleotides) under uncultured bacterium. RNAcentral describes it as "bacterial SSU rRNA". It matches the Rfam family "Bacterial small subunit ribosomal RNA", at positions 29 to 518 of the family's 1533-position model. The record is from RNAcentral.
AUGAACGCUAGCGACAGGCCUAACACAUGCAAGUCGAGGGGCAGCACAAGGAGCAAUCUGAGGUGGCGACCGGCGCACGGGUGAGUAACACGUAUGCAACCUGCCUGUAAGCGGGGAAUAAACCCGUUGAAAGACGGACUAAUACCGCAUAAUACUAAAUUACUGCAUGGUAAUUUAUUUAAACAUUUAUGGCUUACAGAUGGGCAUGCGCAUGAUUAGCUAGUUGGAGAGGUAACGGCUCCCCAAGGCAACGAUCAUUAGGGGUUCUGAGAGGAAGGUCCCCCACACUGGUACUGAGACACGGACCAGACUCCUACGGGAGGCAGCAGUGAGGAAUACUGGUCAAUGGACGAGAGUCUGAACCAGCCAAGUCGCGUGCAGGAAGAAUGUCCCUAUGGAUUGUAAACUGCUUUUGCAGGGGAAUAAAGUGCAUCACGUGUGAUGUUUUGUAUGUACUCUGCGAAUAAGGAUCGGCUAACUCCGUGCCAGCCGCCGC